CGACCCCAGGUCAGGCGACAUUACCCGCUGAGUUUAAGCAUAUCAAUAAGCAGAGGAAAAGAAACUUACAAGGAUUCCCCUAAUAACGGCAAGCAAACCGGGAAUAACCCAGCCUUAGAAUCGAGCGUCUCUGUCGUCCGAAUUGUAGUAUGAAGAAGCGUUCUCAGCGGCGGAUCGGGCCCAAGUCCCCUGGAAGGGGGCACCGGACAGGGUGAGAUCCCUGUCGUGACCGAACCCUAUCGCACCACGAGGCUUUGUCUACGAGUUGGGUUGUUUGGAAAGCAGCCCAAAACGGGGGGUAAAUUCUAUCCAAGGCUAAAUACUUGCGAGAGAACGAUAGCGAACAACUAUCGCAAGGGAAAGAUGAAAAGAAAUUUGAAAAGAGAGUCAAAGAGUACUUGAAAUUAUCGGGAGGGAAGCGGAUGGGGGCCGGCGAUGCGCCCCGAUAGGAUGUGGAAAGGUGACGAGUCGGUCCGCCGAUUGACUCGGGGCGUGGACCAACGUGGAUUGGUGGGGAGGACAAAUCCCGGGCUCUCAAUACGACCAUGGAAUCCCGUCUCCCCGAUUGUGGAAGGCAGCGCGCGCCUCCGGUGUGCUUCGGCAUCUGCGCGCUUCAGACGCUGGCUUAUGGGCUCCCCAUUCGACCCGUCUUGAAACACGGACCAAGGAAUCUGACAUGUGUGCGAGUCAACGGUCAAGUAAACCCGUAAGGCGUAAGGAAGCUGAUUGGUGGGACCCCCCUGAGGGGUGCACCACCGACUGACCUUGAUCUUCUGAGAAGGAUUCGAGUGUGAGCAUACCUGUCGGGACCCGAAAGAUGGUGAACUAUGCCUGAGCAGGGUGAAGCCAGAGGAAACUCUGGUGGAGUCCCGCAACGAUACUGACGUGCAAAUCGAUCAUCUGACUUGGGUAUUGGGGCGAAAGACUAAUCGAACCGUCUAGUAGCUGGUUUCGUCCGAAGUUUCCCUGAUUAUAGCUGGAGCUCGCGUGCGAGUUCUAUCGGGUAAAGCCAAUGAUUAGAGGCCUCGGCGGCGCAACGCCCUCGACCUACUCUCAAACUUUAAAUAGGUAGGACGGAGAGACGACUUUGUUGAGCCGCGCCACGGAAUCAAGAGCUCCAAGUGGGCCAUUUUUGGUAAGCAGAACUGGUGAUGCAGGAUGAAUCGGAAGCCGGGUUAGAGUGCCAAACUGCGCGCUAAUCUAGAUCCCAUAAAGGGUGUUGGUGAAUUAAGGCAGGAGGACGGUGGUCAUGGAAGUCGAAAUCCUCUAAGGAGUGUGUAACAACUCGCCUGCAGAAUCAACUAGCCCCGAAUAUGGAUGGAGCUUAAGCGCGCGAUGUACACCCGGUCGUCAGGGCAAGUGCCUGGUCCCGAUGAAUAGGAGGGCGCGGCGGGUUGGCCGUCGUCGGGCGUGGCAUGCCAUCAUAGCCCUUGAACAGCACACACGGUCAAACGACGUC
This 1459-nucleotide non-coding RNA is filed under the name Solanum lycopersicum (tomato). RNAcentral describes it as "Eukaryotic large subunit ribosomal RNA". It matches the Rfam family "Eukaryotic large subunit ribosomal RNA", at positions 1 to 1426 of the family's 3401-position model. Lineage: Eukaryota; Viridiplantae; Streptophyta; Magnoliopsida; Solanales; Solanaceae. The record is from Rfam by way of RNAcentral.